RNAcentral lists this ribosomal RNA (496 nucleotides) under uncultured bacterium. RNAcentral's name for it is "partial 16S ribosomal RNA". It matches the Rfam family "Bacterial small subunit ribosomal RNA", at positions 29 to 507 of the family's 1533-position model. The record is from RNAcentral.
AUGAACGCUGGCGGCGUGCCUCAUACAUGCAAGUCGAGCGAACGGACGAGAAGCUUGCUUCUCUGAUGUUAGCGGCGGACGGGUGAGUAACACGUGGAUAACCUACCUAUAAGACUGGGAUAACUUCGGGAAACCGUAGCUAAUACCGGAUAAUAUUUUGAACCGCAUGGUUCAAAAGUGAAAGACGGUCUUGCUGUCACUUAUAGAUGGAUCCGCGCUGCAUUAGCUAGUUGGUAAGGUAACGGCUUACCAAGGCAACGAUGCAUAGCCGACCUGAGAGGGUGAUCGGCCACACUGGAACUGAGACACGGUCCAGACUCCUACGGGAGGCAGCAGUAGGGAAUCUUCCACAAUGGGCGAAAGCCUGACGGAGCAACGCCGCGUGAGUGAUGAAGGUCUUCGGAUCGUAAAACUCUGUUAUUAGGGAAGAACAUAUGUGUAAGUAACUGUGCACAUCUUGACGGUACCUAAUCAGAAAGCCACGGCUAACUACGUG